RNAcentral lists this ribosomal RNA (253 nucleotides) under uncultured bacterium. Its description in RNAcentral is "partial 16S ribosomal RNA". It matches the Rfam family "Bacterial small subunit ribosomal RNA", at positions 524 to 776 of the family's 1533-position model. The record is from RNAcentral.
UACGUAGGGGGCUAGCGUUGUCCGGAAUCAUUGGGCGUAAAGCGCGUAUAGGCGGUUCGGUAAGUCCGCUGUGAAAGUCGGGGGCUCAACCCUCGAAUGCCGGUGGAUACUGUCGGGCUAGAGUGCGGAAGAGGCGAGUGGAAUUCCUGGUGUAGCGGUGAAAUGCGCAGAUAUCAGGAGGAACACCAAUUGCGAAGGCAGCUCGCUGGGACGCUACUGACGCUGAGACGCGAAAGCGUGGGGAGCAAACAGG